This 898-nucleotide ribosomal RNA is filed under the name Maribacter sp. RNAcentral's name for it is "bacterial SSU rRNA". It matches the Rfam family "Bacterial small subunit ribosomal RNA", at positions 551 to 1459 of the family's 1533-position model. The record is from RNAcentral. Lineage: Bacteria; Pseudomonadati; Bacteroidota; Flavobacteriia; Flavobacteriales; Flavobacteriaceae.
AUAUUGGGUUUAAGGGUCCGUAGGCGGGCCGAUAAGUCAGGGGUGAAAGUUUGCAGCUCAACUGUAAAAUUGCCUUUGAUACUGUUGGUCUUGAGUUAUAGUGAAGUUGCCGGAAUAUGUAGUGUAGCGGUGAAAUGCAUAGAUAUUACAUAGAACACCGAUUGCGAAGGCAGGUGACUAACUAUAUACUGACGCUGAUGGACGAAAGCGUGGGGAGCGAACAGGAUUAGAUACCCUGGUAGUCCACGCCGUAAACGAUGGAUACUAGCUGUCCGGAACCUUGAGUUCUGGGCGGCCAAGCGAAAGUGAUAAGUAUCCCACCUGGGGAGUACGUUCGCAAGAAUGAAACUCAAAGGAAUUGACGGGGGCCCGCACAAGCGGUGGAGCAUGUGGUUUAAUUCGAUGAUACGCGAGGAACCUUACCAGGGCUUAAAUGCAUAUUGACAGGUCUAGAGAUAGAUUUUCCUUCGGGCAAUUUGCAAGGUGCUGCAUGGUUGUCGUCAGCUCGUGCCGUGAGGUGUCAGGUUAAGUCCUAUAACGAGCGCAACCCCUACCGUUAGUUGCCAGCAUGUCAUGAUGGGGACUCUAACGGGACUGCCGGUGCAAACCGUGAGGAAGGUGGGGAUGACGUCAAAUCAUCACGGCCCUUACGUCCUGGGCCACACACGUGCUACAAUGGCAGGUACAGAGAGCAGCCAUGUCGCAAGGCAGAGCGAAUCUACAAAACCUGUCACAGUUCGGAUCGGGGUCUGCAACUCGACCCCGUGAAGCUGGAAUCGCUAGUAAUCGGAUAUCAGCCAUGAUCCGGUGAAUACGUUCCCCGGGCCUUGUACACACCGCCCGUCAAGCCAUGGAAGCCCGGGAGUGCCUGAAGUCCGUCACCGUAAGGAGCGGCCUA